UACACUCCUGCGGGAGGCAGCAGUGGGGAAUAUUGGACAAUGGGCGCAAGCCUGAUCCAGCCAUGCCGCGUGAGUGAUGAAGGCCCUAGGGUUGUAAAGCUCUUUUGUGCGGGAAGAUAAUGACGGUACCGCAAGAAUAAGCCCCGGCUAACUUCGUGCCAGCAGCCGCGGUAAUACGAAGGGGGCUAGCGUUGCUCGGAAUCACUGGGCGUAAAGGGUGCGUAGGCGGGUCUUUAAGUCAGGGGUGAAAUCCUGGAGCUCAACUCCAGAACUGCCUUUGAUACUGAAGAUCUUGAGUUCGGGAGAGGUGAGUGGAACUGCGAGUGUAGAGGUGAAAUUCGUAGAUAUUCGCAAGAACACCAGUGGCGAAGGCGGCUCACUGGCCCGAUACUGACGCUGAGGCACGAAAGCGUGGGGAGCAAACAGGAUUAGAUACCCCGGUAGUCCCA
This 449-nucleotide ribosomal RNA is filed under the name uncultured organism. RNAcentral describes it as "partial 16S ribosomal RNA". It matches the Rfam family "Bacterial small subunit ribosomal RNA", at positions 332 to 797 of the family's 1533-position model. The record is from RNAcentral.